This 469-nucleotide ribosomal RNA is filed under the name uncultured bacterium. Its description in RNAcentral is "partial 16S ribosomal RNA". It matches the Rfam family "Bacterial small subunit ribosomal RNA", at positions 28 to 507 of the family's 1533-position model. The record is from RNAcentral.
GACGAACGCUGGCGGCGUGCUUAACACAUGCAAGUCGAACGGAAAGGCCCUGCUUGCAGGGUGCUCGAGUGGCGAACGGGUGAGUAACACGUGGGUGAUCUGCCCCUUACUUUGGGAUAAGCCUGGGAAACUGGGUCUAAUACUGGAUAGGACCAUGCUGUAGGUGGUGUGGUGGAAAGAUUAGUUUCGGUAAGGGAUGAGCUCGCGGCCUAUCAGCUUGUUGGUGGGGUAAUGGCCUACCAAGGCGUCGACGGGUAGCCGGCCUGAGAGGGUGGACGGCCACAUUGGGACUGAGAUACGGCCCAGACUCCUACGGGAGGCAGCAGUGGGGAAUAUUGCACAAUGGGCGCAAGCCUGACGCAGCGACGCCGCGUGGGGGAUGACGGCCUUCGGGUUGUAAACUCCUUUCAGCCAUGACGAAGCCCUUGUGGUGACGGUAGUGGUAGAAGAAGCACCGGCUAACUACGUG